GAAACAACAGAUUUGCAUAUUACAGGCAAAAUUAAUAAUACAAACAUUGCCAAAGUAAUGUCUCCCUCACAAUGUAAAGCAAACUUCAUCUUUAUAGAAGCAUAACAUAAUCUAGCUCUUGGAUCUCAUUUGCAGGUCCACCAAAUGUAGAGGUCUAUGCCUAACCGUGACUGGUCGUUCUAAAAUAAGUAAUUUAAAUAUGAAUAAUUUUCCUGGGUAACAUUCUCAUGCUGCUAUUACGAUACCAGAGCAUCGUGACUAUUUUAAAUGUAAACGUUUAAUUUUGAGGAGGUCAGAGUUCACUCACAACGGAAGUUACAAAUCUCCCCGCAAAAUGCCUGCUUCGGGUGUGUUUCCGGGUCAGGAAGAGCGCAGAAGAAUGCCAAUAGAUUCCGAAACAGUUCACAAACGAACCACACGAGGACGUCCUCGUUCCAACAGGGCCAGAUGGACGGCGAACGCUUGGAACGUUUCGAGAUGGACAAAAAGAAGAAGCAAGGAGACGAGAGAGCCGAGCGCGUCGCCGCUUACUGACGUGCACGUCGAAGACGAAUUAAAACUUCUCCACCUCCACAAUUUGCUGCUUGGAGCACCCCAUAAUAGUCGUGGUGCCAAUGAAAUGAGAUGAACGCCAACCUCAGACGUUAAUUAUGGAGGUUUUAAUUGCUCCGAUGGCCCCGACUUCAUGAAAUUGGGGCGUGAUUUGCUUCAACGGCAAAGCUGUUGGAUUCCAGCUCGAGUAAAAAGCACUUGAAAGUGAUUUCUUGGCCAGUGCUUAGGUUCGAAACCCAGCGUGGCAGCGGCCCUCCGGACCGGCCCGCUCGCUCGGCGCCUCCUGCACCGGCGGGCGGCUCCCCACCCCGGAGCGUGUUCCCGUGUCGCCCCGCACAGACAGCUGGGACUGGGCACCGGUUAGAAUUCGGCCGUGUUGCAGGAGGACGGCCCGCCCCUCCGGUGGGGGUGUGGGGGGGGGUCGGAUGCUGGAACGUGCGGGGCUCCCGGAAGCCCGCCGACCGAGCCGAGAGGAGAGCUGGCCGAAUUCAUCCUUUCUGCGCAGU
Molecule: long non-coding RNA, 1058 nt
Organism: Syngnathoides biaculeatus (alligator pipefish)
Lineage: Eukaryota; Metazoa; Chordata; Actinopteri; Syngnathiformes; Syngnathidae
Exons: 4
Source: RefSeq, a predicted model, not a curated record